UAUGUACAGAAAGAGAAGCAGACAAAGAAAGAUGAAAUAUUUUUGCAGUAGAGAAGUUGUAGCAGCAGUGUGGGAUGCUUUGGGCUUCCUGGAAGCCACUGAGAUUGGGUUUCUAUUGGAAAAGGAAGAGAAAGGAGGAAAUUGAUUCCCCUUCUCUGUGAUGAUCUAUUCAGAUAAGGGAAAAUUAUGACCUCUGACUUAGAUGAUAAUAAUGGCAGGAAUUAUCUAGAUGUAACAGAUGGGGGGAACCUCCCAAAAUAGCUAGUUAUCUUUUCUACCGUUGACAUAAAGGACAUUUUAAGAUAUCCUCUGUCUUCAAAAAGGCAGCAGAGAGCAAUGUGCCCUAACUGCCCAACUAGGAAUGCAGCCCUUAUGGUAUAGCCUUUGCCUAUUAUUUUCCAAAUUGCCAUCAAAUCAUCAAAGAUAAACCAUAUGAGUGGAAAUAAACUUCAGGGGAUGAGACUAGGAAUGGUUACCUAGAGGGACAUAACCUGAGCGCUCAAGGGACAGAAGCCUCAUAUUUGCUACGUGUUCUGUACUGUGUGGUGUACCCAUUUGGGGAAGGAGCCUGUGCCUGCUGGCUCCUGAGAAGAGAAGGUAGUUGUGCAUGAGUAUGUCAUUGUCUGAGCCCAGGUACCCCACCCACCAGGAAGCAACACAGUGGCAGGUCUGUUCCCAACUUCCACAAAGAGCCAGCACCUAAGCCACAUGCUAGACAUUUGGUUUUAUGACCCUGAGUCACUUUUUGCCUUCCCUAGAAAACUUAUUUGUACUUUAAGUGAGGUAGAAAGAAAAAGAUUUCAGAUUAUCCUAUCUGUGACAAAUAUAAUUUAAAAUUUCUGAUCCUGGACCGGUUAGAUAGGUGAAGAACACAGAUUCCAACAAUUUGCAGUCAGUGAGAUCUCACGAGUAGCAUUUCUGUAACCUGCUGAAAUGAGAAUUUGUACAGGUGUAUAAAUAGGUGGGCUUUUUCAUAAACAAACCAUUCUGUUUUUAUGACUUGUGAAAUAUUUGCUUCGUGUAGUAGAAAGAGCACUGCCCGGAGAGUUGGAGGCCUGAAUUCUAGUUCCACACCUUCUAGUAGCAAAAGGUGACCCAGAGGACAAGUCAGGUCUCUUUACUGAGUUGGAGCUGCCCCAUCCUAUCCCCAGAGCUCCUGAUUCAGUCAAUCUGGGGGAGACCCAGACUCUUCCCAUGUAAAUUCUGAUGCUUGGGCAGCUUGGGAUCCACUGGACUAGAAUGAGUCUAAGGGCCCCUCUGGCUCCAGCAUUCUGUGA
RNAcentral lists this long non-coding RNA (1277 nucleotides) under Homo sapiens (human). RNAcentral describes it as "non-protein coding lnc-MUC13-3:1". The record is from RNAcentral. Lineage: Eukaryota; Metazoa; Chordata; Mammalia; Primates; Hominidae.